GAUGAACGCUGGCGGCGUGCCUCAUACAUGCAAGUCGAGCGAACAGAUGAGGAGCUUGCUCCUCUGACGUUAGCGGCGGACGGGUGAGUAACACGUGGAUAACCUACCUAUAAGACUGGGAUAACUUCGGGAAACCGGAGCUAAUACCGGAUAAUAUAUUGAACCGCAUGGUUCAAUAGUGAAAGACGGUUUUGCUGUCACUUAUAGAUGGAUCCGCGCCGCAUUAGCUAGUUGGUAAGGUAACGGCUUACCAAGGCAACGAUGCGUAGCCGACCUGAGAGGGUGAUCGGCCACACUGGAACUGAGACACGGUCCAGACUCCUACGGGAGGCAGCAGUAGGGAAUCUUACGCAAUGGGCGAAAGCCUGACGGAGCAACGCCGCGUGAGUGAUGAAGGUCUUCGGAUCGUAAAACUCUGUUAUUAGGGAAGAACAAAUGUGUAAGUAAAUAUGCACGUCUUGACGGUACCUAAUUAGAAAGCCACGGCUAACUACGUG
Molecule: ribosomal RNA, 497 nt
Filed under: uncultured bacterium
Lineage: Bacteria
Description: partial 16S ribosomal RNA
Rfam family: Bacterial small subunit ribosomal RNA
Source: RNAcentral